RNAcentral lists this ribosomal RNA (253 nucleotides) under uncultured bacterium. RNAcentral's name for it is "partial 16S ribosomal RNA". It matches the Rfam family "Bacterial small subunit ribosomal RNA", at positions 524 to 775 of the family's 1533-position model. The record is from RNAcentral.
UACGGGGGGUGCGAGCGUUGUCCGGAAUCACUGGGCGUAAAGGGCGCGUAGGUGGUCUGAUAAGGAUGUGGUGAAAGUCCGGGGCUCAACCCCGGAUCUGCCGUGCCGACUGUCAGACUCGAGGACUGUAGAGGCAGGCGGAAUUCCGGGUGUAGCGGUGGAAUGCGUAGAGAUCCGGAGGAAGACCGGUGGCGAAGGCGGCCUGCUGGGCAGUUUCUGGACACUGAGGCGCGACAGCGUGGGGAGCAACAGG